UUAAAGUGCAAUUUUUAGUUAUGAUGUUGAGUAAAUGUCGAAAUAAGUUUGUUUAAUUUUUAGAUGAAUCUGUACUAUUUUAAGCCGCGUAUUCAAAUCUUUUCGUGAUGGCCACAGAUUGGGAGUGUAUUCCCCACUUUUAUGAAGUACACAAAAAUCCAUUACAAAGCCACAUAACUUAUGAGCAUCCAUUGAAGAUACAUGGAGUGACAGUAAUCGAAAGUAAAGGCACCAAACGUUGCUUGAAAGAUAUUCGGAGUAGCUUCAGUAGCGAUANUAGUUCACGAGCUUCAUCAAGUAUUUCAUUAUCGGCGGAGCCGCUAACUUUGUCUUUGGAUGGAACGGAUCCGCUGUCCCUAUUUGCACGACAAGAACAAGAAAAUAUGGACCCUUUAACACAGCAGAUGGAAAAAAAUGAUAGUAAAAAUUUGGACGAAGAUAAUAUAAGUUGGGGCGCAAAACGUUUGGGGAUAUUGAAUCGUUACACAACGUCAGAAAAACUGUCUAUUUCGACAAGUUUCCUUUCAGCAGCAAGCUCAGGUGGAGAAGGAAUUAAAUCUCAGACCGUAGUCGCCGACAAAGUAAAAUUUCGCCUGGAGCAGCUAGAUGACUUCGAUGAUGCUUCCAUGAGUCACAUGAUUGAUUUAACUCAACAGGAAUAUAUACAACGUAUUGAACAAUUAAAUCAAGAGUUGGUAACGUCAUGGAACGAUGAUCAACGAGUAAAAUCAUUAAAAAUUGUCAUUCAAUGUUCUAAAAUGCUUGCCAACACUUCAGUACUUAGCUUUUAUCCUAGCCAAUUUGUUCUUAUAACUGAUAUUCUUGAUAUGUUUGGAAAAUUGGUCUAUGAGCGACUUAAUAUUAAAGCAAGCAAUAUUAUAGGCGAUGGAGAUAACAGGAAAUUGAAUGAAGCCGAGCCAUUGUAUGAAAACGCUAGAGAAACUUGUCAAAAUUGGUUUUUUAAAAUUGCUUCUAUUCGGGAACUGUUACCCCGUUUAUAUUUGGAAAUGGCUAUACUCAAAUGUUAUGAGUUUAUAUCACCUAAAGAAUUCGAUAAAAAUUUACUUCGUAUUACUAAAAUGAUCCGUGGUAUUGGUGACCCUUUAAUUCAGACAUAUGCACGGUGCUACUUGGUUCGUAUUAGUCUAAAUGUUACGACUAAUAAAGAAUCUAUAAAAGAAAAUUUUAAGGAUUUCUUAAAAAUCUACAACACGAUUUUUAGCGGAGCUGUUCGUUCUGAACUGAAUCGCCAGCGUGUCAACCAUGAAACAUAUUUAUCAUUGUACAGUCCGGCUUUGGAUUUCAUGUUAUUAGCACUUGUUCACAAAAACAGUAUUUACACAGAAGAAAUAAUGAACGAAUGCAAAGGAACAAAAAAUAAUGGACUACUGUUUAUUUCUAUGCUGAAUGUAUUCCAACCAAAGUUCAUUGCUUCAAACGCAUUGGAAUUCGUUAAGUUACUUGCAAGCUCUAACACAGAAGGCAUUUCGAAAGGACACUUAUUCCGCGCCCUUGGCAUUAGUGUCAGCAACUACCCACCACUUCCAGAGCAAAGGUUACAACUUUUAAAUGGUUCUUUUAAUACCAUAGAUACUUUCACCGAUGCAAUUGAAUAUAUAAACUGUAUAGAAACAUGGACACAAUUUAUUGCAAAAAAUUUCUCUAUAACUGUUAUCAAUGAUCUGUUGGGAACAAUAGCCUUACGAGUGAACGCAAGCCGAACAUAUGAAAGAUUUUAUACUCAGUUGCAAAAUAUUUUAGACAAAAUUUUGCAGCAUUUUGAAAAUACGGAGUUGUUGCUCAUUCAGGAAAACUUUUUACCAUACUUAGAUCUUUUUAAGAAAGAUUCAAAUAGGAUAGUCGUAUGUAAAAACAUUCUGAUAAGGUACCACCAAAAAUCCGAAGAUAAUAUCUCGGAUGAAAUUGUGAUCAAUGCGAUAAUGUUUAUUGGAAAGAUUCUCAGUAACUCUGUAACCGCUCAAUCCGUAGAAGAUGAACGCCGACAAAUCUCGCACUUGAUAAGUAGUUUCAUACGUAAAGUUACUUACACAAAAGAUUUUGAACGACAGCUUAGUUUUUAUGUGGACGCUCGUGAAGCUUUCACAGAUUUGGACGCAGUCUAUAUAACAUUGGUAAAUUCUGUAAAUAAGUUAGCCGUUGGGAUACGACAUGUGAUUAAAGGAAAUUAUACUCAAAAAACUGGAGCGUUUGUAAAAGCAUGCAUAGCAUUCUGUUUUAUUUCAAUCCCCAGUAUUACAGCAAUUCAAAAUCAAAUGGACCUAUACUUACUAACCGGUCAGGUGGCGCUAUUGAAUCAAUGUUUAGGACAGGCGGAUGCGUGUUUCGAAGCCGCCCUUCAAUUAGUGAGUAACUUACCACGAUCCGUGGAAACGGAAGGCAAAUCACUGGAUCUGGAGACGUAUUUGGUAUCUUACCUUUGCAACAUGUUAGCAACAUUAGUGGUAGUACCUUCGAAUAUUUGGUUUUCAUUUUAUUAUAGGAUAGUCCCGAUCAAGGGGUGCUAUAUCUACUCCGUCUACUACUUUCAGUCGUCACUAAAUUCCCCUUCGAUGCUCAGAGCUCUGGACUGGUCAUCGUUUAUUUGCAAGCUCUAGAUAUGUUGUACAUACAAAGUUUGGAAGAAUUUCCUUAUCACAUUCCCGGCGUUGUUUCAAAUGAUGAACUUUAUGGCCAUGAUCAGAAAUAUCUAACAGAAGUCAAUAAUAUAUGCAGUCAAGUCAUUGAUGACAUCUU
Molecule: unclassified non-coding RNA, 2754 nt
Filed under: Bactrocera latifrons
Lineage: Eukaryota; Metazoa; Arthropoda; Insecta; Diptera; Tephritidae
Description: uPF0505 protein CG8202, transcript variant X1
Source: RNAcentral